Molecule: long non-coding RNA, 1809 nt
Organism: Notothenia coriiceps (black rockcod)
Lineage: Eukaryota; Metazoa; Chordata; Actinopteri; Perciformes; Nototheniidae
Exons: 3
Source: RefSeq, a predicted model, not a curated record
UGUUUUUCAGUCGGUGGUGAAAACCGGACGCCUGCUCAUCAGUCAUGAAGCACCAAUAACCGGAGGCUUUGCUGCAGAAAUCAGCUCUUCAGUACAGGAAGAGUGCUUCCUAAACCUGGAGGCUCCCAUCAGCAGGGUCUGCGGUUAUGACACCCCCUUCCCUCACAUCUUUGAACCUUUCUACAUCCCAGACAAGUGGAAGUGCUUUGACGCAAUUAAGAAGAUGAUCAAUUACUAAACCCCGUCAGCCAACUUCUGGUAUCCCUGAACCCCAGGCUCUCUCCUUUCUCUCUUCGUUCAUCAUAUCAGUGGAGAUCAGCUGGGAAAAGACACUUUGUUGACCAUCCAAUCAGGAAGCAGCAUCCAGAUGGGCUCCAUGUCCCCUCUGCAUCCUGAAGACUGUUACAUCAACUCUGCAUUGAGGAACCUUGUUCUGUGGGAAGAAAAAUAAUGAAUUGAUCCACUCGUUAUGGUGAAACUCUGCUUUGGGGUCGACAUAAUUAGAUUUCCUCCUAAAUAAAUGGACGGAUACUGUGGGGAAAACUGUAUUUGAUUGAAUUUGUGGCUGCCUCUCUGUGCUGUUACCUUUUGAUUUAACGUGUCCAUUUUGCUGUACUCUUUAUUAAGUUUGACAUGAACUAACCUUACUGUACUAAUAUAGUGGAUCUGUGGUUUUUAAAGAAAAUAAAGUAAUCAGAACUUUGUGAAAACAUUUGGUUUGGCUAUUUGCAUUGCUUUACAUUUGUUUGGAAUUGGGAUUGUACAGAAAAAAGUAAACAUUUUCUGGGGUUUCCAUUGGUCCUAGAGUUAGAGAAAAAUAUAUACAACUUAGUCGUAGGGAAACCUUUACCUAAACCAUAAUGAAAUCUGCCCAUGUCACGUUGGAAUUCUGCCCUUGCCUCAAUGAGGAGAUGCUGGCGCGAAAUGAAAAUGUGCUCAACACUACCAGCUUAUAUGUGUAGGGAAAACUCAAAUGGCUACAAAGUUAAUAAAUCAUUUUUAUGAGGUUUGGAAAUUUGACAUCUUGUUGAACACAUUUGAUGCCUUAGAUUUAGAACUCACAUUUUUCAGUUAUAGUAGCACUUUGAUUUAAAGGUCCCAUGUUUUGGCCAUUUCUACUGAUCAUAAUUCCAUUGUUGAGGUCUACUAGAAUAGAUUUACAUUGUGUACGGUAUCCGCUGGCAUGGCACUUGGUCUAUAUCAAGCAUCCAGGGAAACACAGCGGGAAAUCCACCUUACACUGUCCGCUCCGGGGGCCUCGCGGGCAGCUGAGCUGCUCAGGAGUCCACCCUGGCAGAGGGUGUGCCUAUUGUUCUAUAGCUGUGUGCCAAUUGGUCCAGACUUAGUGACGUCAAUAGGCCCCCGGAAGAAAAAAAUGGAAAAUGACAAAUCUAGAACGAGGAGUUCUGCAUGUAUAGGCACGUAUUUUCUGUGUUAGUUUUACUUGUUACAGGGUGUACUUUUAGGGUUUGUGACUUUGCAGACCGUUUACAUGCAGAACAAGCGACAUCUGGUAAUAACCAGAACAGCAUAUGAUGGGACCUUUAAACUUUCACAUUUUUAAAAGACAGAAAAGACAUAGCAUUUUACAACAUGGCCACUGUUUGAACUUUUGUCCUUUUUAUAAAGUUUCCAGACUUUUCCAUUUUAUCUGUAUUUCCAUGAGAAAAAAUGUUCUUCCUUGUUAAACUUCUUGAGACUCAUGGAACCAAUAGUGACCACUGCUGGAACCCAAACACAUGUUUGAGAAAUCACGAGUGAUGGAAAAACUUUUACCUGAACAACAAUAAAGACCACAGAUCAAAAGUU